CAUAUCUCUAAUUAAAAAAAAGAUAUCUCUCUCCAUCUUCAAUUCGCCGUCUUUACAACUCAAACAGAAGAAAGAGAAAUAUCUCUUCUUCUCCAUCUUCUGCACCUCACUCUCUGCUUCAGAAAAAUAAAAAAAAUCUCACUCCUAUCUCUCUCCCACUCGUCUUUUCUUUCUAACUCCAACAGAAGAACAGAGAAGAUCUUCUCCAUCUUCUUCAUCUCCUCCGAAGAGAAGAGAUCUCGUCACCAUCUUCUCCUUCUUCUUCAAUCAUGCAAAAGCUAUUUUUCUCACAAAUAUAAGAGCACUGUAAGUUUUAAGUUAUUUGUUUAAUUUCAGGGAUUCACCAACAGAAGAAGAAGUAUUAACUGAUUUACCAGCAAUCAGGGUUAGCCAAUGCAAAGACUUAUGCAAUUCAAGAUGGAAAAGAUUCAGGUGUUGUUCUUGAUGCUACUAAGAGUAACAAACAUAAGAACCCUCCAACUUUGGUGCACAAAACUGUCAUGAAAAAGGAAUUCAGUAGAAUGGAUAAGGGUGUUGCCAACCAGUUAACUUAACAAACCCUUUCUCUUAUUUCAGAUUUUGUAAUAGAUUUUUGAUGCAUACAUAGAUAACUUGAUUUUUUUAGCCACUUUGACAUCACUGGUUGUGUGUUCCACAAGUGCGUGCAAUGCGAUGGUUGCUGGGUACAUCAUAUUACAGAACCUCGGUUUAUGUCCAAAGUGAGAGCAAUUACAAUCUCUGCACCAUUUGCUUCUCGGAAUUAGGGAAUGACGCUCAAUGAACCAGAAUAGAAAAACCCCAUCUUUUACCGAUGCCCUCGCCGCAUCUUUUUUCUCAAGGUCCAGCUCCACCCAUCAUGUAUCUCUCAUAUCUUGAAUGCAUCUAAAAUUUUAGAUUCCUGGUGAUGGAUACCCUGUGGGAACAACACUACACAUUGUAGUUGAUCUAACAACACCAGUUUCCCAUGGAUUCUAUAUUUCUUACUGGAGGAUGAUGUCACAUUCUGGUGAAAUGUUUGAGGAGCGGAUUUGGGUACUAAUCGAGGUUACUAGUACUGAGAGGAAAUAUUUCCACAUUACCUUAUCAAGGCACAUGUUGGCGUUGCGAUAAAUUUUCCUCAUACUACAAGAAGCUCAAGAUGGUAUUGAAGGUAGCUAGGAAGAAGAUGAGGAGGCUUAUGAGGUAUAGUUGUUUUAUAAAGUUUAUAUAUCCAACUGUGAGGUAUGAAUGUUAGAGAUGGACAUGGAAAGUUCACAAUAGGAAAUGGGGAAUUUCCAUUGGUGUACAUGUAUUGUAGCCUAUAAUUUGAUUUAUCCCGUUGUUAUUUUCUGUGAAUUCUGAAAUAUAGUUCUUCUGAUUUUAACAAUUGGUUAAGCCACUGGUAAAGACAUCACAAGGCCAUUCGACUUGAAACUUCAUAUUGAUGUUUGAGCAGUUGAAAAUGAUGGUUUUGGCAGUCUGGUAAACUACCAACUUCUUAAGUUUUAUGAUUUUUGGUUAACUUGUCUUUGCUUAACAUUGUUUUUUUUGCUUGAGUUUCUGUUUUGCAUAUACUUGUAACAAGGUCUUGUAGUUAUAAGAACUGAUUUUCACUGGACAUUUUUAGUUUGCUGAGAAGUUCAGCUUACUUGAACAAUAUAUAAUGGAAAAAGAUAAGCAGAAGAAGGUAAAAGUUAAAACCGUUGUACCCACGUUGUGAUUGCGUAUCUGUACAAAUUUUUAUUGAAAGGAUUCAUUUGACAUGAAAUAAUAACCUAUUGCGUAGUUUGAUUUGGUACAUUUUCUUGAACUGUAUGAGUAGUACAUAAUACCUUGAUGUAGCAAUUCAAUUUUAAACUUCAAGUGUUAAUAAUUUCUCGGAUCUGUACCCUGGUUUUUUUAACAACUUCAAACACUUUAUUUUUGUUAAUAACUUCAAACACUUUGGUGUUCAUCUAGUUUGGUGAUCAUAGCCCUUAGAUACUGAUGCUACUUUAUCUGCGUGAAUUUUUGUUCGUCCAAUUUGAUUAAGCACAUUCUUUUGGUUUCACCCUUUUCUGGUGGUGCUGUGUUUGAUGUGGGUUUGAAUUUUUUCAUUGUUAUUGAUCGUCGAAAAUGGGUGAUAUAUUCGAAUUGCUAAGAACUCUACCUUGCUUCCAUUUUGACAGGAGGGAUUUGUUAUUUCUAGUUGGCAUUUUGCUGUAAUGGAAAGGGUAUACAUUUUAGUUGUGCAAGUAUGAUCACAAUUGUCCAUUUGUCAGUUGCUUUCAUUUUUUAGGGAUAAUUGCUAGUGGAGAUUCUAUUCCAUAGCCUUCUAUUCUUUCAUAUUUCUGGUUAUGGUUUGACUUGUUUUUUUUAUUAUGGUGAUACAUUUGAUUUGUGUAGUUAUCCGUCUAAUUUUCCCGACCAAUGCCUUAUGUACAUCUGAUAAAGGUGAUGCAGAUUCUUUUUUUUUAUAUGUGAUGCAUUACAGGUUGAUAAACUAAUAAAGGAGGAGGCCCAUGAAAUGGAUGUAAAAGAAGUACAAUGGAGCUCUCAGGUACACCAUUAUGAAGUAGGAAUAAGUUCUUCAUCGUUAUCGGAGUUUAUAAUUUUGCUGUUUAAUCAAUAGUUUUUUAGUUCAUCGUUUUGUAAUAGAAUCCUAGAACUACAGAUUACAUUGGUCAGAACUACAGAUUUUAAUCCUUUGUGUAAUUCGAAAGCAAUGAACCAAUGAAUGUUAAAUUAAAUGAUUAUUUGUGUGCAAGUUUAAUUUGAUUCUCA
This is an RNA transcript of Papaver somniferum (opium poppy), 2742 nucleotides long. RefSeq lists it as uncharacterized. The transcript is spliced from 8 exons. The record is from RefSeq and is a predicted model, not a curated record. NCBI's taxonomy places the organism in Eukaryota, Viridiplantae, Streptophyta, Magnoliopsida, Ranunculales, Papaveraceae.